AUCGCUUCUCGGCCUUUUGGCUAAGAUCAAGUGUAGUUAAUUUAAGUACAAAUUCUCAUUUCAGGGACACAUUUUUGUUGAAACUCUGUUAAUUUGGCAGUUAACAAACUGGACAGACAAUGACUUUUAUUGGAAAUUCACAGGUAUUUAACUAUAUUUU
This 160-nucleotide small nuclear RNA is filed under the name Lynx canadensis (Canada lynx). Its description in RNAcentral is "U2 spliceosomal RNA (ENSLCNG00005002929.1)". It matches the Rfam family "U2 spliceosomal RNA". From Rfam's summary of the family: U2 is a small nuclear RNA (snRNA) component of the spliceosome (involved in pre-mRNA splicing). The record is from RNAcentral. Lineage: Eukaryota; Metazoa; Chordata; Mammalia; Carnivora; Felidae.